UCCGGUUUGUCACCGGCAGUCCCAUUAGAGUGCUCAACUGAAUGUAGCAACUAAUGGCAAGGGUUGCGCUCGUUGCGGGACUUAACCCAACAUCUCACGACACGAGCUGAGGACAGCCAUGCAGCACCUGUGCAUCCUGAUAUUGCUAUCUCGUCGGGCUUUCACCCUCCUACUAAAUGCAUGUCAAGGCCAGGUAAGGUUCUUCGCGUUGCAUCGAAUUAAACCACAUACUCCACCGCUUGUGCAGGCCCCCGUCAAUUCCUUUGAGUUUUAAUCUUGCGACCGUACUCCCCAGGCGGAAUGUUUAAAGCGUUAGCUGCGCCACUAGUGAGUAAACCCACUAACGGCUGGCAUUCAUCGUUUACGGCGUGGACUAC
Molecule: unclassified non-coding RNA, 377 nt
Filed under: uncultured Pseudomonadota bacterium
Lineage: Bacteria; Pseudomonadati; Pseudomonadota
Description: uncultured proteobacterium contains 16S-23S intergenic spacer region
Source: RNAcentral